GCAGCUUGUCCUUAGGGUGGAAGAACAAGGGCUUUUAUUAACACAUUCCAUUGGCUGAGUUUAUGAUGCUCUGCCUCACUCCCUUUGCCCUGAAGUGAAGUCGAAUUAUAAAAUAGGACCAGCCUUAUCUUGGGCAGCCAUGCAACAAUGGUAUCUGGAGAUCUGAGAAUCAUGCUGGAUCCAGAUCUAGCUGCCAGUGAUGGCUGCUGACAGCUCUUGAGUUUCAUUCACUUUUAAGACAUUACUGGAUUGCCUGCAUCAAAUAGAUUGGAUGAUGCCGUGGCAACAUUUUGUUAAGUACCAGAAUCCUGGAGAAAUCACUCGAAGCACGUUAUCAGAAGAACAGAUGGCCGGUGUCCCUCCUGGUCUGAAGGUAUUUCUGGCUGUCAUGUGAUUAUUCUAUAAAUAAACCCCACUGAGAGGCAAUGGAAGGUAAGCAAUCAGUUGCACUCUCUGACUUCACAAAAGAAGGUACUGGAAAAAAAUUAAAGGCUGGCUACUUUAAAGAUAAUUCUAUCACAGAACCCGAGGGCUAAAACGGGUCUUGGAAAAACCAUCAAGAUCAUCUCGUUCUAGAAGAAAGGUGAAGCCUCAUUGGAUUAAUUCCAACUUGACUUUUGAAGACCUUCAGAGGACAACUCUAAAAUUCCAUCAUGACAUAUGUGACCCUGUUCAAAAACCCUGAUUGUGUGGACCCUGCCCACUCAAGAUUCCACUCACUCAGCUUCUUCCUUCCACAGCCCACUCACCCUGGGGAUGUGUUUCAGGCCAGGUAGCCCACCCUCAAGUCUCUUUCAGGCCUCAGGUGGGAACUUGUGAAAGGAGGUUCUGUUAAUCAGGAUCUGAGUAUCUGCCAGGCAAUUGCAUUCAAUAUGAUUUUUUUCUUUCUUCUCACAAGUGUGCAAUGAAACAAGUUUCAUUAUUUUUAUUUUAUGGGAUAAGGUUUUGAAGUCCAAGAUAUUAACUAUUAACCAACAUGACAAAGGUGGUAAUUAGAAAUAAGAAGGGUUCUCUGCCUCCCUGCCACCCCACUAGAGCUGUAUCAACAAUCUUAUCCUUCUUUUUAAUUCUGUAUGCUUAAUAACCCUGUAGAAGGCUCUUCCCAGAACCAAAAGGGCCACUAUUGACUCUCUAAAUUAUAACAUAAAACUUACCCAUGUCUGGGUAAGAGAUAGCUAUAUAAUGAGAAUUUCUAUGUCCCAUUCAUUCAUUCAUUCAUUCACUCAUUUUUAAAAAUUCUUCAACACAAUAAUGGGAGUGAAGAAUCUCUUCCAUACCUGCUCAAACUUAUCAUUCUUUAAAUGUCUCUGUCUCUAUAAGUAUUAUUAGUCUCCCCCUUCCCAUUUAGUUACUUAAGCUUCUGAAUCAUAGUUUCCAGGGCUGUAAAAUAGAGAAAUUACCUACCAUAGUGGGUGGUCAUGACUAUGACAAAGUGCUGUCUGUGAAGGGCUUGAAUCUUUAGCCAGUAUGAGUACCCUUUUCUCUGUGUGCAGAAUAAAGUAGGGUGAUGGCUCUUCUCACAUUCACCACAAUCCCUCUUUCACUAUGGGAGGAACAUGUGGCUUUUUUCCAAAUUUCUAGGGCUGGAGUUGUAAGAAUUUCUUACAGCUUAAGCUCUGUUGGUCUCAUUCAUGGAUGGAUGUUCAGAACCAGAAUGGGAGUGGGGCCAGUCUCAAGCAGGUGCUUAAUGGAUUUUUGUUGAAAACACAUAUUGAUAAAUGGAAUCUGAAAGCAAAAUAACUUUUUCAGAAAAUUCUCUGCUCAUUAGUUUUUAUAAAAUAGACUUUUCUUCACACAUUAAAAAUAGCUAUUUUCCAGUGACACUUUUAUAUGAUUUUUAUCCUAUCAUGGUAAUACUCUCGGCCAUUUCUAAAGAAAACUGAAGUUUUCAAGCUGCCUAAAAUUUUUUUUUAUUACACAAUUCCCUUUGUUCUUGCAUUCAAGGAAUAACCAAGAUCUCUAACUUAAAGAAUUUUAAUGAAAUAGUUGCCUUUUAUUUUUCUAUUUAAUUUUAGAAAUUGAUUUUUUAAAGAAAUUGACAUUUAAGACAACUUUAGUUUUAUGGGACAAAAUGCUCUAUGUAAAUAAAAGUACACUAGAGGCCUUCAAAAGACUUUUGUGUUAAUGUGUUUUUAUAAUUUGUAUUUGACUUAUGUGGAAAGAAUGUUCAUCAGUAGAGAAUUUUAAGCAAUUCUGCUGGAAUUUUAUUGGCAGAGAUAGCCUGUUUGCAUUCUUCUGAUUGCCAAUUUUGUUUUUGCAUCAACAAAUUUCUUCCUGAAAUAUUAACUAUAUUUCAGUUGUUCACUUUGUGAAAUUUCUUUGGCCUUGCCAUUCACAUUUCCUAUGGAGACUUGGACUCUGGGAGAAGAAGAGUGUUGAUUCCACCUGAAGGAAAGAUGUCACAGGCUCGAGGGAUGAAACCUUGGGUAGAUGGCAGUGGUCCUGGCACUUCCAUGGGGCCACUGGGGAGGUUGGCCCUGACACUUGUUGGUUUCCCCACUGGUAAAUUGUUUACGUUGGACAAGUAAUUCCUCAUUUUUUCUUUAACAUUAUUAUAAAUGCCUCUCUUUUCUCUUAUUCAAAAUAACAUAUGUUCAUGGUAGAAAAAUAAGCAACUUCAGGAGGAAUGAGCGCUUCUGAAAUUAUCAUCUUUCUAUUUAUAUAUAUUUAUGCAUAUGCAAAAGUGUGUAUGUAUAUGCCCCCACACACACAUACACACACUCACACACAUUCCCUUAAGAAAGCAAGUGUGAUUGGUUAUAAAUGCCUUA
Molecule: long non-coding RNA, 2771 nt
Organism: Canis lupus familiaris (dog)
Lineage: Eukaryota; Metazoa; Chordata; Mammalia; Carnivora; Canidae
Exons: 3
Source: RefSeq, a predicted model, not a curated record